GAUAUUUGCCCUUUGCCAAAUGGAGAAUGAAAACAGGCUAAUGAGACCUGGGUGAGCAACUGCCAGGAUUGUGUAUGUGACCCAUACAGUCUGGAAAUCCAGUGCCAGCCGGUGGCAUGCCAACAUCAGCCUCCUCUCACCUGUGAUCAGGAGGGCCAAGUUAAGGUCGUAGAAACCGUUGACUGUUGUCAAAAGGACAAAUGCGAGUGUGAUGUCACACGAUGCUCUACUUCUAAGAUAACUUGUCCAGUCGGAUUCGAGACAGAGGCAACUAUGGGAGUCUGCUGCCCAACAUAUCAAUGCAUGCCAAAGGAUGUCUGUGUGUUUAACAACACUGAAUAUCAGAUGAGA
Molecule: long non-coding RNA, 351 nt
Organism: Oncorhynchus tshawytscha (Chinook salmon)
Lineage: Eukaryota; Metazoa; Chordata; Actinopteri; Salmoniformes; Salmonidae
Exons: 4
Source: RefSeq, a predicted model, not a curated record